CAUAUUGGAGAAUUCUAACUUUGAAAAUUCUUGCGUUCACUUUCAUAGUUUUAUAUCAUGGUGGUCAUAGAAAAAGCCAAGGCCCGCACUGUUUAGCCAUGAAAUGGCCAAUUUCAAAACUAUACUUUGAGGUGGUUUUUAAUUCUGGGAAAGCUGCUAACCCCCUGAAUUGAAGGGGAAAAUACAUUUUUACCCCCCUCAUUUUCGUUCCACCCACACCACUUUCCCCCAAAUUCUCCCCAACCUGAAAAUCCCUUCAGCCCUAGCUCCCAUGCAUUUUGCACCAAGGUCGGUCGAUAGAGUCUUCGCAACACCACCUCCGCCUUCCCACUCGGCGAUUCGCGGCUGCUGGCUCCGACACGGCUGGUUCUGCCCGCCGUCAUCGCGAGCGGCCGAGAAUCCCGAGCAGCUAACCAAGUGAAACUCAUCCCUAAAGCUGAGUUUCUUCCUUUUAUCUAAUUCGAGUUCUUGAAAUUGAAUUAAUUGGAUUUGUGAUUGUCGAAAUAGCUUCAGUAGUUUGUUUGAUUUCUGGUUUUGAUUCCAAUUAUCUCGUCUCUAAUUCUUAAUCUUUAUUUAGCAUACUGUUAGUUAUAGUUUGGAUACGGAGGAGCUUGCAGCUAGAGGUGAAGCUAUUGGUGUUGAUUCAAGCUUUCUUAUUUAUAACCCCCUCUUGUAAUCGGCUUGUGUCGCAAUUUCGACGCUAUACCAUUGGCGGCGAUCGAAUAGAAGAGAGAGAGAGGAGAUGAGUCGGACAACAGCCAAAGUGUUUCUGUUGAGGUCGUUGCUGAUGAAGAGAUCUGUUUCGUGUAGCGCUGAAGUUUUCUGUCGAGGCACCGCCGGAGAUUGAGAAAUUUGAAGAAUAGAGAAAGCGUAUGUGUUGGGAAUUUUAAUGGGGUCAUUUUCGUCAGAAUACAUAAAUAAAUAAAUUGUUUUAUGUCAAAACUGUGUUUAUAUCUUGCAUACUCAACACUGCAUUUUAAUUUCAAUUAUGUGGGACCUACACAUGUAAAUGUGAUCAAGAUUUAUUUAUGUUUCUUUCCUAUCAA
This is a long non-coding RNA of Salvia hispanica, 1046 nucleotides long. RefSeq lists it as uncharacterized. The record is from RefSeq and is a predicted model, not a curated record. Lineage: Eukaryota; Viridiplantae; Streptophyta; Magnoliopsida; Lamiales; Lamiaceae.